CUCCCCCUACAGUUGUUUUCUCUCUCGUCAACACCAGUAUGCUGGCAAUCUAGUUUCAGACGUUUUUUAUUUUUUAACAUAAUUACAGUAAUGGGAGGAAAAUUGAGGGGAGGGCUUUAGGAUUUGUGUGACAGUUCAACAGCGCAAUCUCCGUAAAGGGCAGUCAGACGGCUGGGGGCAAACAAAAUCGUAGAACUGGUUCUCGUAAAAGCUCGCAAGGGGGUGUCAAAUACGGACAUUGCCUGCCUGCCCCCCGGGAAUAUAGCAUUUACUGAUGAUGUUGGUGUCUUUGAAGAGUUUCUAUGCGAAGUGAACGAGUGCCAGACUUCGUGGGGAAAUGUCCAGACCGCAGCUCUUCACGUGAGACACAUCCAGAUUUGGGGUAACAUCUCCCAAUUGUCACGCCCAGCUGUUCAGACCAGAGAUGGAUCAAGAGCUCAACCUCUGCCACUAUUUCUGCAGAGAACAGACAGUGGACUAAACUCCAGGGAUGUAUGGGGAUACAGGCGAGACUGGCAACUACAGACAGUUCCAGGCUGGACCUGUCUGUCCCCCCUCUCUCUCUCUCUCUCCUCUAUCCUCAUCUAUCUGUCCCCACCACUGCUUGUAGACGACGAUGAUAUCUGUCAAGUCGUGUCCUGUUAUUUUCAUAACUAGGGAUCGAACAGAACAUAUGUCAGCUAGUUGGUGGAAUCAUCCCCAGAAUUGGUUCCAUUUGCAUUUAAAGUUAUUCACAGACAUCUCGGUAGGUUUUUUCCCCUCCUGAAAUGGAGGAUCUCUGUUCUACUGCCUUUUAGUAACCCAAUAAUCACCCUUUUGUCUGAACCAAGCAAUUUACCAUUAUAAUGAACAAAGUGUAGGUCUAGUUUCAGAUGUGCUGUGGACAGUGAGUUUGUUGUUGUUCUGAAAAGCCUCGUUCCCAACCUUCAACAAUGGAGUAAAACAUAGUAGAUGUUCCAAACUGUAUCAAAGAUCUUGUCGCCUCCUAAUGUCGCAUGUCAGACUUUACUGCUACAGAGUUGGUUUGUUCUAAUAUAUUGUACCAGACCUUGACUGAAAACCUACAGGACAGUAGAUCCCCAGGAAGAGGGUUGGGCUGAAAACCUACAGGACAGUAGAUCUCCAGGAAGAGGGUUGGACUGAAAACCUACAGGACAGUAGAUCUCCAGGAAGAGGGUUGGACUGAAAACCUACAGGACAGUAGAUCUCCAGGAAGAGGGUUGGACUGAAAACCUACAGGACCA
Oncorhynchus tshawytscha (Chinook salmon) is the source of this 1244-nucleotide long non-coding RNA. The record is from Ensembl. Lineage: Eukaryota; Metazoa; Chordata; Actinopteri; Salmoniformes; Salmonidae.